RNAcentral lists this ribosomal RNA (467 nucleotides) under uncultured bacterium. RNAcentral's name for it is "partial 16S ribosomal RNA". It matches the Rfam family "Bacterial small subunit ribosomal RNA", at positions 28 to 506 of the family's 1533-position model. The record is from RNAcentral.
GACGAACGCUGGCGGCGUGCUUAACACAUGCAAGUCGAACGGAAAGGCCCUGCUUUUGUGGGGUGCUCGAGUGGCGAACGGGUGAGUAACACGUGAGUAACCUGCCCUUGACUUUGGGAUAACUUCAGGAAGCUGGGGCUAAUACCGGAUAGGAGCUCCUGCUGCAUGGUGGGGGUUGGAAAGUUUCGGCGGUUGGGGAUGGACUCGCGGCUUAUCAGCUUGUUGGUGGGGUAGUGGCUUACCAAGGCUUUGACGGGUAGCCGGCCUGAGAGGGUGACCGGCCACAUUGGGACUGAGAUACGGCCCAGACUCCUACGGGAGGCAGCAGUGGGGAAUAUUGCACAAUGGGUGGAAGCCUGAUGCAGCAACGCCGCGUGCGGGAUGACGGCCUUCGGGUUGUAAACCGCUUUCGCCUGUGACGAAGCGUGAGUGACGGUAAUGGGUAAAGAAGCACCGGCUAACUACGU